CUGUCUCGGUUCCUCGCCGUCACAACACCACCGCAUGUGGGCAGCUAGGGUCCGGCUGAAAUUAAUCGGUGUCAAUGAUGGUGGACGUAGCGUUGGGGGUGGCGGUACUUACGCACUAGAUGAUCCGCCGACCCCGAUCCGGCGACGAGAGAGCAGUGGUGGAGGGGUUGGCAUUUAACUUUUACUUCACUUCACAGCACCUCUUUUGCUCGUAAUUACCACCCCCCAACGGACCCAUCGAUUCGAUUCGAUUCGACGGACGGAACGAGCCGACGCGACCUCCUCUCCUCAGCGCCCGUAUACGAACGUAGGUAGAGCCUCAAUUUCUCUGCCUUUUGGCUGAACCACCAUCACCUCUUCUCUACCCCCUCCCCUUGCCCUGACGCACCCGCCCCCGCGACAGCGGCCGCCGCGCCAUGCGCCUCUGCCCUCCCCGCUCGAACUGUACCCUCUUGGAUUGCCGGCACGACGGACCCAGGCCGCCGGCCGGCUGGUUCUUCGAGAACGUCCCCGACAUGCCGAUGCGGCACGGGCCGUCCUAGCAGCGGUAGUACCCCGGGAGGCCGAGGCCGUUCAGGUGGGAGGAGCUGAGGGAGAGGCCCUCCGACCGCUCCUUACACGAGGUUUGGCCGUUCCACGACGAGUUGCCGUUCUUCUCCGCCGAGCUGAAACCGCGCCACCGCAUGCACUGUGUCCUCUUGCAAGACGACCCGUGCGACUGGCAGGCCCUCUGCCACUGGAUGAGCCGCGUCGACGCCGACGGCAGCUCGUACAGUUUCCGACUCCACGCGGCACAGCAGCUGCUGUGCGACCUACUCUACCCGGAGGCCCUCACGCGACUCGCCGGGUAGCCGUGCACCGUGGAGGCCCCGUAGUCGCCGCCGCUCUUCUUCGCAGACACGUAGCGCGACCUCUAGGAGUGGGCCGGCGCGGAGGAGAAGGAGCUACUCGGGUGGUCGCCAGAGCUGUCGCGGAGACGGAAGAGGCAGUAGCUCUGCGAGGCGUGUGAACGGUAACUACCGCCUGCGUGGUAACAGAGCAGCCACGUGGUCGGGUCGUCGCUCCAUAAGCGCGAGAAGCUGCUAGAGACGGAGGAGAGGUCACCGCUCUCACAGAUGAAGCCCCUACGGUUCGAACGUGGUGUCAAGAAACGUCUUUGGCCUAAGGGGACGGGCUCGGCCUCCUUGGGAAGGCUGGUGAAGGAGGCCACGCAGUUAAGCCUGAAGCUGCUACAGCGGUGCCGGGACUUUCCUAGGUACUUCGAGGUUCGUCUCCGUCUAGAACUAGGGGACAACUUCAUGAGCUGAUGCCUCUAGGCUCUCGCCGAGCACCUAUUCAUGGCCUAGAGUCUGAUGCGGUACUACCAAUCCUUGUGUUAUGUGCUCUAUUCGUUUUAUCUCCCACACUACCUCCUCCGUCACUUCCCGUCGGUUCGCUGGACCACGUUCGUCGACGCGUGCGACUGGUUCGCGAGGAUGUAGUUGUACAUGGCACUGAAGCCGAUGAUGUCCGACGCGUAGUAGUAGAUGCAGGACUACCGGUAGACGGAGCCAUGGUAGAUGAUGCUGCAGCCGUUGCCGAUGUGACGCUAGGUCCGCGCACGGAGCACGCCGCCGAAGCAGAGCCCGAAGUACUGCAAGUACAGGUAGCCGCCGAAGGGGAGGAAGUAGCUCCUCUACUUCCAGAAGAGGGAGCUCGCCGUCUUGCCGGUGAUGCCGCAGCGGCGGAUGUAGUAGAGGUUGAAGGAGAGGAGGUACGGCAAGGACAACUGGUACAGGACCCGGUCGCGGAGGUAGUGUAUGACCUACCAGUUCAAGGCCGGUCCUAAGUCGAUGAAGCGGAAGAAGCGGGAGUUGGAGAUACCACCGCAGAGGCAGUAGCUCUCGGAGUACUACUAGUAGAGGCGAGAACACGGGUUGAAGGAGUACCCCGAGUAGGAACCGCGGCCGCAGUAACCCUAGUACUACAACUGCAGACCUAAGAAGGCCGAGGAAGGUCUUGAAGGGUUCUAUAAAACCUUUAUGGGUCACAGGAUGUAACAGAUGCCUAGAACCCCAAACUUCCCACGUAUGUUCUUGCUGGACGAGCCCGACCUCAAGCUCGGCUACUGCGGCCCUCCCCUCUUCGACUGACCGCUCAAGUAGUAGUGGUUGUACUACCCCGACUCGCAGUCGAUGAGGUUCACCGAUCUGGAUCGGUACUAGAAGUAUGAGGAGGACCGGAUGGCGUAGUGGAAGAAGAAGCAGGAGUUCCAGUUCCUCCGGCGGCGCGGGAUGGAGGCGCAGCGGAUGUGCGCCAAGUGGCACUUCGCGGAACUCGCCGCCCGCAGGAAGUCCCUCAGCGACCGGUACUGCAGGAACAGGUUCGCCGUGUUGCGUGGCGUGGGGUACCGGUACGUCCUCCCCGAGUUGAGGGGGUACGUCGUCAUGACUGACCGGUUACAGUUACUCAUGGUCCUCGUCGGCGGGGCCGUCAACUCAACUAGUAAUGAUGUCGUUCUGCUAUCGGCGGGCACUGUACGCAGACAGUGCUAAUGAACACAUACGCAAAGGUGAACAAUCAAAACGAACGUCCGAACGCCGAAGCGACCUUCGAAGUUCCAAGUAUUUGUAUGCCUAUCACGUAAGAAAUUUUCAAACCAAAAUGACAUUCUUCAGCGACGUUGGUUAUGUCUAUGCUCUAUUAUAAUGCGGAGUAACAAAACGAGCAAACAAAAUUCGAGUGCAUGAAGUACGUGUAUAGGUUCCCUUUCCUUGUAUUGUUGACCGAUAAGUACACAUUUAUGACCACUUCGUGAGUUACGUGUAUUAUAGUUUAA
RNAcentral lists this ribosomal RNA (2818 nucleotides) under Triticum aestivum (bread wheat). RNAcentral describes it as "partial small subunit ribosomal RNA". Lineage: Eukaryota; Viridiplantae; Streptophyta; Magnoliopsida; Poales; Poaceae. The record is from RNAcentral.